GGCUGUAAUAGUCAUUCCCCCCUUCAGCGCCGAUUAGGGAUUCCAUUCCCGUUUCUUAUUUUCUAUUCCAUUUUCUGCCCUCAUCAACUUCAUCCUCUCAGACGUUUCCCUUCCAUAUUGCAAGGUCAUUACCAUCACUCUUUUAGCAGCUCGCACUCUUCCCCUAUUUAUUUUACAGGUUCAAAUUAAACCUUUUGGACAAACUGAUUCAUGCGUGGUUACAAGAAGUAAUUUCAAGAACCUAUAUUGGACAGUGACUCAACAAGUAGCACUUCACACAAUUAAUGGUUGCAACCUGAGGCCAGACGAUCUCCUUGGAACUGGGACCAUUAGUGGGGCUGAAUUUGAAUCAUUUGGAUUUUUGCUGGAACUAACAUGGAAUGGACAAAAACCAUUGCCAUUAAAUGGGACAACUCGAAAAUUCUUAGAAGAUGGAGAUGAAGUAAUCUUCUCUGGUUGCUGCAAGAUACUUUCUGUGUUCGACAUGGUUUUUAAAACUAAGUUGCAAACUCAUUUAUCUCCCUAUCAUGCAAUUUAUAGAUAGGCUCGAGUCUUUGGCCUUGAAGGAAUUUUAAACAGGUGAAAUGAAACCACAAUAUUUUAGGAUAUCUUUCUGGUUCUGGGUUAUUGGUUGAAGUUUUGGUAGUGAUGGGGUUUAAAAUAAUGGAAUUCAAAAGCUUAGUAUAGUGGGGUUUAGAAUCUAAGGUUUGAGCUCGAGGAUAAUAUAAAUUUGUUUAUCUCCAAAUCCGUGCUGAAAGUGAAAGUUACUAUAUAGAACGUGGAGUCAUGGUCAUGUAUUGUUUCCCAAAAUCUUUUACCUCCAAUAGGAGGAACAAGAACAUGUGGAGUAGUAUAGAGUGAUUAAUUUCUGAAUUAUAAAUUG
Molecule: long non-coding RNA, 883 nt
Organism: Gossypium raimondii (Peruvian cotton)
Lineage: Eukaryota; Viridiplantae; Streptophyta; Magnoliopsida; Malvales; Malvaceae
Exons: 5
Source: RefSeq, a predicted model, not a curated record